CGUAGGGUGCGAGCGUUAAUCGGAAUUACUGGGCGUAAAGCGUGCGCAGGCGGUUUUGUAAGACAGGCGUGAAAUCCCCGGGCUCAACCUGGGAACUGCGCUUGUGACUGCAAGGCUAGAGUACGGCAGAGGGGGUGGAAUUCCACGUGUAGCAGUGAAAUGCGUAGAGAUGUGGAGGAACACCAAUGGCGAAGGCAGCCCCCUGGGUCGAUACUGACGCUCAUGCACGAAAGCGUGGGUAGCAAACAGGAUUAGAUACCCUGGUAGUCCACGCCCUAAACGAUGUCAACUAGGUGUUGGGUGGGUAAAACCAUUUAGUACCGGAGCUAACGCGUGAAGUUGACCGCCUGGGGAGUACGGUCGCAAGAUUA
This 371-nucleotide ribosomal RNA is filed under the name uncultured organism. Its description in RNAcentral is "bacterial SSU rRNA". It matches the Rfam family "Bacterial small subunit ribosomal RNA", at positions 526 to 896 of the family's 1533-position model. The record is from RNAcentral.